CCUACGGGGGGCAGCAGUGGGGAAUAUUGCACAAUGGGGGAAACCCUGAUGCAGCGACGCCGCGUGAGUGAAGAAGUAAUUCGGUAUGUAAAGCUCUAUCAGCAGGGAAGAAAAUGACGGUACCUGAGUAAGAAGCACCGGCUAACUACGUGCCAGCAGCCGCGGUAUUACGUAGGGGGCAAGCGUUAUCCGGAUUUACUGGGGGGAAAGGGAGCGUAGACGGCAGUGAAAGUCUGGAGUGAAAGGCGGGGGCUCAACCCCCGGACUGCUCUGGAAACUGUCCGGCUGGAGUGCAGGAGAGGUAAGUGGAAUUCCGAGUGUAGCGGUGAAAUGCGUAGAUAUUAGGAGGAACACCAGUGGCGAAGGCGGCUUACUGGACUGUAACUGACGUUGAGGCUCGAAAGCGUGGGGAGCAAACAGGAUUAGAUACCCUAGUAGUC
This 440-nucleotide ribosomal RNA is filed under the name uncultured bacterium. Its description in RNAcentral is "partial 16S ribosomal RNA". It matches the Rfam family "Bacterial small subunit ribosomal RNA", at positions 338 to 795 of the family's 1533-position model. The record is from RNAcentral.